GAUGAACGCUGGCGGCGUGCUUAAUACAUGCAAGUCGAACGGAGGUUGUAGCAAUACUUCCUCAGUGGCGAACGGGUGAGUAACGCGUUGGUGACCUGCCUCGAAGUUGGGGAUAACAGUCCGAAAGGAUUGCUAAUACAGAAUGUGAUCAGUGGGAUUAGACACCCGCUGAUGAAAGGCGAAAGUCGCUUCGAGAGGGGCCUGCGUCCCAUCAGCUAGUUGGUAGGGUAAUGGCCUACCAAGGCUAUGACGGGUAGGGGACCUGAGAGGGUGGCCCCCCACAAUGGAACUGAAACACGGUCCAUACACCUACGGGUGGCAG
This 322-nucleotide ribosomal RNA is filed under the name uncultured Chloroflexota bacterium. RNAcentral describes it as "bacterial SSU rRNA". It matches the Rfam family "Bacterial small subunit ribosomal RNA", at positions 28 to 351 of the family's 1533-position model. The record is from RNAcentral. Lineage: Bacteria; Bacillati; Chloroflexota.